GGCCCAACUUUGAAGUAGAGUAGAUUAGAAGGAUCAUCUGACCCUACUAAAUUACUCUUCUUCGUGUUUCUGCCC
Molecule: microRNA precursor, 75 nt
Filed under: Haemonchus placei
Lineage: Eukaryota; Metazoa; Nematoda; Chromadorea; Rhabditida; Trichostrongylidae
Description: mir-5928 microRNA precursor family
Rfam family: mir-5928 microRNA precursor family
Source: Rfam by way of RNAcentral